CCCUACGGGAGGCAGCAGUGGGGAUCUUCCGCAAUGGGCGAAAGCGUGAUCCAGCACCGCCGCGGAGUGAAGAAGGUCCUCGGCUCGUAAAGCUCUGUACCCGGGAAGAACGACUGUUGGAGAUCCCUACAAUAGUGAUGCACAGUCAGAGCGCCCGGCCC
RNAcentral lists this ribosomal RNA (161 nucleotides) under uncultured Dialister sp. RNAcentral describes it as "partial 16S ribosomal RNA". The record is from RNAcentral. Lineage: Bacteria; Bacillati; Bacillota; Negativicutes; Veillonellales; Veillonellaceae.